UACGAAGGGGGCUAGCGUUGCUCGGAAUCACUGGGCGUAAAGCGCACGUAGGCGGCUUGUUAAGUCAGGGGUGAAAUCCUGGAGCUCAACUCCAGAACUGCCUUUGAUACUGACGAGCUUGAGUCCGGGAGAGGUGAGUGGAACUGCGAGUGUAGAGGUGAAAUUCGUAGAUAUUCGCAAGAACACCAGUGGCGAAGGCGGCUCACUGGCCCGGUACUGACGCUGAGGUGCGAAAGCGUGGGGAGCAAACAGGAUUAGAAACCCCCGUAGUCC
Molecule: ribosomal RNA, 273 nt
Filed under: uncultured bacterium
Lineage: Bacteria
Description: partial 16S ribosomal RNA
Rfam family: Bacterial small subunit ribosomal RNA
Source: RNAcentral